AAAGCAAGGCGAUCUGUCGCGCCGCCUCGUGCGGUGAGGAAAGUCCGGACAGGACAGGGCGCCCCGCUGCGGAAAGCGCAGAUGGAAGAAAUUUCAUAUACUCCGUAACAGAAAACGACCGCCUUCGGGUAAGGGUGAAAACGUGGGGUAAGAGCCCACGACCGGUGUCAGCGAUGCCAUCGGGGUACGGAUUCGGGGCCUGCAAGACCAAAUAUACUGACAGACGAGGGCUGCCCGCCCGAUGUCAGGGGGUAGGUUGCGAAGAUAAAUGACAGAUUUAAAAACAGAAACCGGCUUACGGCUUUGCUUCACGC
RNAcentral lists this RNase P RNA (314 nucleotides) under Bacteroidota bacterium. Its description in RNAcentral is "RNase P RNA component class A". It matches the Rfam family "Bacterial RNase P class A". Rfam says of the family: Ribonuclease P (RNase P) is a ubiquitous endoribonuclease, found in archaea, bacteria and eukarya as well as chloroplasts and mitochondria. Its best characterised activity is the generation of mature 5'-ends of tRNAs by cleaving the 5'-leader elements of precursor-tRNAs. Cellular RNase Ps are ribonucleoproteins. The record is from RNAcentral. RNAcentral also lists the same sequence under 1 other name. Lineage: Bacteria; Pseudomonadati; Bacteroidota.